Non-coding RNA from Notechis scutatus (mainland tiger snake), 218 nucleotides. Lineage: Eukaryota; Metazoa; Chordata; Lepidosauria; Squamata; Elapidae. The record is from RefSeq and is a predicted model, not a curated record.
UGACCUUGUGGUACAUUAGGCCUCUGUUCUUUGUGAAUGCAUCAAAAUCCUGAAGCAAUGAAGCAGGCAAAAAAAAGUGACAGAUAGGAGAUCUUCACAAGUUGGGCAUAAACCUGAGCACUGGUCGGUCUAUAGAAGAUAUCUUGAAUUUUAUCUGCUUGAAUCAAAGCUAACAGAAUUUCAUGGUGCAUUCCCUGAUGCUUAGCUUCCCUCCAAGA